Molecule: long non-coding RNA, 1247 nt
Organism: Triticum aestivum (bread wheat)
Lineage: Eukaryota; Viridiplantae; Streptophyta; Magnoliopsida; Poales; Poaceae
Exons: 2
Source: RefSeq, a predicted model, not a curated record
UCCUCCACCUCACAGAUCGUUCCGACCUGCCGCAGCCGCUGCGGCCAUUGAUGCGCAAAAUUAUCUCUUCCUCCCAACUAAACAGGUCAAUUAUUUGCUCGUGGGUCGCCGACCUGAGCUGGUACCAUAUGAGUUAGUUGUGUGAAUCAUUGUACGCCUCCACAAGCCAUCUGUCCACGACAACUCUCCUUGCCUACCUUCUCGUCACCUUCUUCAAUUAGCAGCCGCGAGCAAGCAAUGAAUACAUACAUGCACUUGGUGUGUUCGUGAGCUGGUUUAUCUGCGCCUGCGCGCGAGGGAGAGUAGAAGCUCCGACCUUGCCAAUGGCAAUGCCUUGGGAGAUGGUGGUGUGCAUAGCGGGCAACGUGUGGGUGCUGCUCGACGGCUGGAUCUCCGUCUGCUUCCUGGCCGCGGACGAGGCCGCCCGCCUCCUCCGGUCGGCUACCGAUUGAUCAUUGAUGAUCAGGAUAACCAGAGGAAAUGUUGGUUAAAUACGAAAUAUGUCUGGAGCAUGGUGUUAUUAUGUUAGAGAAACUAUAAAGUACCUUCUCAUUGAGUUGGAGGGAGGAAAAUUGGUGGAGCAAUUCAUAGGCCUGCUACUCUAUAACCUAAAGAUGUUCCUGCCAUUGGAACCAAACUAUAGAAGUGGAACAGUGUGAACUAUGUGCUUUCAUCAAAAUCCAAUGUUGGAGGUACGCUUCAUGAAUGGAGGAUCACAUUGUAAUAUCUCGAGAAGCACCCCAUAGAUGGUGAUUCAAUCCAUGUCUUGAUAUGACAGAACUAGGGCCUUGAAACUUUGCCCAACUAGUAGAGUAGACUUUUAGUUUGUACUUUGUGUUUUGUACCACAUAUAGACAAUUGUUUUGAGUGUUCUUUUAUUUUUCCAGCGGUACCUGAAGGGAUGUUCCUUUUGGAUGUAUGAUUAUGUGACCAAUUGGUUUCCUUUCAAUGAAAUGGAGUCGUGCACCACAGGCAGAACACACCACUAGUGGCGAACGAAAAACAACUAUAAGUAGCGGACGCGAGUGGUGAGUCGAUGCACUUGCGAGCCAUUCAUGUAUAUAUUACCAGUGGUGGAAAUAUAUUCCUACUCGGCACUAGUAUCCUUGCCCAUGCCAAAAUAAUUGUUGUUGUUCUAGCAUUACUUGUUGCCGUGGCAGUGUUUUUUCCUGUGACGAUAACAUUUUGUAGAUGACAUCUCAUCACAUUACAUGACAUAGAUAAAUUGAUGUAUGAACAUUCAAUCA